ACGUGCGUCGUAGUUUAACCUUCACGUGCGUCGUAGUUUAACCUUUACGUGCGUCGUAGUUUAACCUUCACGUGCGU
Ciona intestinalis (vase tunicate) is the source of this 77-nucleotide microRNA precursor. The record is from Ensembl. NCBI's taxonomy places the organism in Eukaryota, Metazoa, Chordata, Ascidiacea, Phlebobranchia, Cionidae.